GAUGAACGCUAGCGACAGGCUUAACACAUGCAAGUCGAGGGGCAGCACAGGUAGCAAUACCGGGUGGCGACCGGCGCACGGGUGAGUAACGCGUAUGCAACUUACCUAUCAGAGGGGGAUAACCCGGCGAAAGUCGGACUAAUACCGCAUGAAGCAGGGGUCCCGCAUGGGGAUAUUUGCUAAAGAUUCAUCGCUGAUAGAUAGGCAUGCGUUCCAUUAGGCAGUUGGCGGGGUAACGGCCCACCAAACCGACGAUGGAUAGGGGUUCUGAGAGGAAGGUCCCCCACAUUGGUACUGAGACACGGACCAAACUCCUACGGGAGGCAGCAGUGAGGAAUAUUGGUCAAUGGCCGAGAGGCUGAACCAGCCAAGUCGCGUGAGGGAUGAAGGUUCUAUGGAUAGUAAACCUCUUUUAUAAGGGAAUAAAGUGCGGGACGUGUCCCGUUUUGUAUGUACCUGAUGAAUAAGGAUCGGCUAACUCCGUG
This 485-nucleotide ribosomal RNA is filed under the name uncultured bacterium. Its description in RNAcentral is "partial 16S ribosomal RNA". It matches the Rfam family "Bacterial small subunit ribosomal RNA", at positions 28 to 507 of the family's 1533-position model. The record is from RNAcentral.